ACUUUCACGUUUGAGAAGGAAUAGUAGAAGUACGGUGGGACUUUUAGAGAGUGCAUGGUUGGUGGAAAUGCACAGCACACCUUUCGAACUCGUCUUCGAGUGAUAUCUGACUGAACCUGAUUUGGCUAGGCAGAUACGGCGAUGGCCGUUAAAACAUCGAGGUCUGCUUUUUUGAGGAGCAGAUAAACUUAGGUGGUACCACGUUGAUAACGUCCUAUAA
Regulatory RNA element from Enterococcus casseliflavus EC20, 220 nucleotides. It matches the Rfam family "T-box leader". From Rfam's summary of the family: Uncharged tRNA acts as the effector for transcription antitermination of genes in the T-box leader family. T-boxes are found upstream of many aminoacyl-tRNA synthetase genes and some amino acid biosynthetic genes usually in Gram-positive bacteria. The anticodon of a specific tRNA base pairs to a specifier sequence within the T-box motif, and the NCCA acceptor tail of the tRNA base pairs to a conserved bulge in the T-box antiterminator hairpin. NCBI's taxonomy places the organism in Bacteria, Bacillati, Bacillota, Bacilli, Lactobacillales, Enterococcaceae. The record is from Rfam.